This is an RNA transcript of Gossypium raimondii (Peruvian cotton), 1688 nucleotides long. It is a transcript of the gene named transcription factor bHLH121, with no coding region annotated. The transcript has 6 exons. Lineage: Eukaryota; Viridiplantae; Streptophyta; Magnoliopsida; Malvales; Malvaceae. The record is from RefSeq and is a predicted model, not a curated record.
GGUUCGACACGUGGUCGAGGUUAGUGUAGAACACAAGUUAGUGCCGUCGUGGUAUCCACUUCGUUCCAUUUUUAUGAUUUUUUUUAUUCUCAAAAAACUCAAAAUUCAUCGAUCUUUUUUUUAUUUUUUAUUUUCGAUCAUCAACUUCAAUCUACACAUGAAUCAUCAACGGAAACCCAAUGAUUUCUCUGAAGCUAUUGCAGCAGAUUUGGGCACUUCAAACCCUGAAUCCAGACAAAGGCUAGAAAUGGAAGCUGAGGAUCCGAUAGCUGCAAGGAAAGUUCAAAAGGCUGACCGUGAAAAACUGAGGAGGGAUAGAUUGAAUGAGCAGUUUCUUGAAUUGGGAAACACACUUGGUAACGUAUACCCAGAUAGGCCUAAGAACGAUAAAGCAACCAUACUCGUCGGCGCAAUCCAAAUGCUAGAGGAUUUAACUGCAGAAGUCAAAAGGCUAAAAGCUGAGCGUUCAUCACUAACCGAAGAAUCACGUGAGCUGACUCAAGAGAACAAUGAGCUGAGAGAAGAAAAGGCUUCUGUGAAAGCUAAUAUCGUAAACCUAACUGUUCAGUAUCAGCAAAGACGUAUGAUGAUGUUUCCUUGGACCGGUAUCGACUCUUCAAGUGUUAUGGCUCCACCUUAUCCAUAUCCAGUUCCUUUGCCUGUCACUACAGGCCCAAUAGUAAUGCAUCCCUCGCUGCAACCAUAUCCGUUUUUUGGAAAUCAUAACCCAGGUGCUAUUAACAAUCCCUGUUCAACGUUCAUGCCAUAUUCAACCAUGACAAGCAACCCUCUGAUCGAACAGCCAUCAUCCCAAUAUACAUCAUCGUCCCACACUUCUAGUAAAAGGGAUUCCAAAAGCAAAUUGGCGGAUCACCAAAGAGGAAGUAAUAGAGAGAGUAAUGGUUCCAACGACGUGAGGACGAAACUCGAACUGAAAAAUCCCGGAUCAUCAACAAACGAGGAUUUAUCUGCCAGAAAAAAGAAAGGCAAGGAAGAAAAAAAGGAUAGAACAAAUGGUUGCUCGUUGAACUGUUACUCUUCGUCUCAAGAUCUUAAAGAUAGUUCUUCUAACAGUGUGAAUGAUGUUUCGAAGUCCAACAAGUGAAACAAUUCUUUUGCAUUCACUUUUCCGGUGAUUUCGGUUGCUUGCAUAACAAGAAAAACAAAGAACAUCAAGACCAAAACAUGAACACUUACCAUUCGUAGUUCCUCCGGAGUUAUAUAUCCAUCUCUAUCUACAUCAAAUUUCUCGAAAGCAGCCUGUAACCGCAUUUGCCACUUAUCGCAAUCAUGUUCUUCCAUUUGAUUCACAUGUAGUGCAGCUGCAACAAACUCGGUGAAAUCAACAAGUCCAUCCGUGUUGCUAUCAAUCUGUGACAAAACAAUCAAACCGCUAAAGGAACAGAAAAGAACGAAUGACCUUAGAUGACGAAAGGGAAAAUUUUACUCACCGCUUGAAGAAUCUCGAGGACACGUGAAUCUUUUAGCUUCCAAGGAAGAUCUUUAGCAAGGGCCUGCACUGAAACCAUCCUAUUAGGGACAAAAACAAAGAAGUUUUGUGCAACCUAAUAGACGUUAGGCACACGAUAGAAAUGUUCACCUGUCUCAUCUCUUCGAGACUAAUAGAACCGCUCUUAUCCACAUCGAUUGCAUCAAAUUGGUCCCGAAGAUCGGCUAUCUCUUCUUCA